UAAAAAAAAAAAAAAAAAAUUAAAGGGGAAAAAGGAAAGGCAUAUAUAUGUAUAAAACAUACAUAUUUGAGUCAUAUAGAAAAGUAACCCCACAGGAGCAUCUAGAGUAUAUUCUUUGUUGUCCUCCCGUUAAGACAAAAACAACUACAGCGUCUGGUGCCAGAAAGACUUAUCUGUCCUCCUGCUACUGAGUGAUGAUGAUUUUGGAGGAGGUUCUCAUGGAAGCAUCAUUCUCCCAUAAUAGAAACUGCAUGAAGACAUGUUUUGUUCCUAGUUCCUGAGAAGAUGAAUUUGGCUUUAGCUUCAAAUAAAUGAUUAAGAGCUGUAAGUAGAAGUGUUCUUCCUGCAAUGUGGUAUGUCCUGCCAUAGAGCAAAGUCACCGGUCGAUGAGAUAAAGUCUCUUUCAGGCAAGCAAACCCAACAACCAAUUUUUACCAGUGUUUAUUUUUUUAAAUGUAAUUUGUAUUAAUGGGAGUUAAGAAUUAAGUGAUAAGCUGUUGGAACCAUUGAUACAUCAACAAGAAGCAAUGUGUGAUUUGGAGCUUUGUUUUGGUCCAACCAUGCAUUUUAUCCAAAAUUGGGUAUGUGGAUCACUGAUGGUUCAAGAGAUAAUUUUGAAUAUUACAUGGAUAUGUGUUAUAAAUUUAAGGAAAAUAGAUGAAGCAGCAAAAAAUGUGGUACUUGGGUUUGACAAAAUAAUUUAUGUGGUAUGCAAACACUUGGGAAUCUUUGACUAAACAAUUGAGGCAGGAAUUAUUGGCCAAAGUUCUGUAGGGGAAAUUUUCAUAGUUUAAACUGAAAUGAGGGCCUUAUAACUCUUAAAUAUCUGUGAUCACUACAAGUCACUAGUGUGGGUGAUGAACAGUCAGGAUAUGUAAGGUGAACCUGCACAUCUUCAGACAACAGGGCAUCUUUCUGAUAUGGGUAUCAAAUCUAAUUCAGCCAUUCAAUGAAUAUACUGAGCCUCAAUGUAUGUGAAAAUAUUGUGCAGGGAGUCAAAAGAUGAAUUCGAUAAUACUUUUUCCUUCAAGGAGCUUAAUUAUAGUAUGGGGAAGAAGAUAACAAAAAUAAUUAAGCAACAGAAUAUUAAUGACACAAGAAAGGCAUAAACUAAUAAAAGCAUAAUCCAAAGGGAUUGCAGGAAAAAGAUCAGAGCUGGUUGGAAGUAAAUGGGAAAGCCAUUACUAAAAACAUGCUAUUUGAAAUGGACUUCAAAGGAUGGGCAAGAUAUUAUUACAGUUAUUAGUGGGUGACAGGAAAGUUUGAGAUAAGUUUCUGCACAAAUGUAGCAUCUGCCUAAAGUAAAAAAGAUAAGCAGCUACAAAGUUGGCCAACUUGUGGAUAUCUUUGAUAUCAAGAGGAGGAUUUCAAAUUAUGUAAAUACAUGCAGAAUACCCUGGGAUCCAGUCUUCCUUCCAACAUUGAUCAGCUGUGUUGUAAUUGUUACAUCAUUUUGAUCAGUGAUCAGCAGAAUUUUAUGAUAAUAUAUAUUUUAGGCUUUGCAGGGUACUCAGAUUUGCAGUGGUAGUUUGAAAGCAGCCAUGGACAAAUCUAAACCAUAAAAGUGAGUCCUGUUUUAAGGAACAAUAGAGAGUCCUGUUUUAAGAAACAAUAGAGAAGAAAAAAAAAAAGACAUUACUAGAAAAAUCUAGUAUUUUACCAGGAAAGAAAACAAACAAGCAAACAAGCAAAACACUUCUCAUAUAAUAUAAACAGGCCUUAGUGAUUUGAGAGGGUCUUUUAAAUCAUCUCCAUAAUAAAAGGGGCAUAACAGGAUCUGGAAAGAAUGGUGUGGCAUCAUAAAUCAUUUUAAUCUUCUUAUGAAGUUGAAGUGACUGGAGGAAGAAAUCUUAGAUCUCAAAUUCUUUUUAAAAUUAGACUGGAAAAGCACUUAAGAAUUUACAGUAAGGAACCUGAAUAGUAAGAUGGAUGUUUAUCCAAUUGUUUUAUUUUCUUGUCUUGAGAGCUGGGGGUAUGAAGUACCCACAAAGAAGCUGCCUGCCCCCUUCCAUUCUUCUAUAGGAAGAGGAAAGUAUAAAUGGGAAAGGAGAAAAGAAAACUACUAAGAUGUUAUUUCAAGUAAAAUUGAAUUUCUACUAGUUCUUGGGAGAGUAAUGGUAAAAAAGAAUAAAAGCUAAGAUUUAAAGAUUUAAAUAAAUCAUGUAUCAAAUAAAACAACUUUUGAAGACAGCAAAUCAAACUCAUAGAUUUGGAAAAACUCUCAAGCAACCAUUGAUAUACUAAGGUAAAAACAAAAUUUAUAUGAACCUUCAUAGAUAAAACAAAAAACUUCAAAUAGAAAUUUAGCUUGCAGCAGGAGCCUCUGAUCUAUACUUUUAAACAGGUUAAGCUAUGUAAUGUUUUCUGUUAUUAAGGGAAUGCAGAAGACUGUUAGUAUAGCCUCUUAGGAUGCCCAUUACUAAUAAUUAUAAGAUGAAGAAUAGCACAAUUCUUAAGAAACUUGCACUCCAGAGUUCAAUCAUAGGAUCAGACUCAGACCUACCCUCUGCAUGGCUUUUUCUUGAAAUCUCCUCUUUCUUGGCUUCCUCCUUUCCCUGUCUUUUCUUUAACUGCUUAUCAUUUGCACAGGAGUCCUUCUCUGAAGAUCUGCUUCUGGGAACUGAACCUAACACCACCAAUGGAAAGUCUGAGUUACUUUCUAGGGGAAACCUUUAUUUUUGGGAAAUAAAACAUCAUUAUUGAAGCUCUGCAGAUAAGAAUGAUACCAUGAUUUGUAUAAGAACAAUAGUUGUGGCAGGGUGCAAUGGCUCAUGCUUGUAAUCUUAGCAAUCUGGGAGGCCGA
Non-coding RNA from Microcebus murinus (gray mouse lemur), 2803 nucleotides. The record is from RefSeq and is a predicted model, not a curated record. NCBI's taxonomy places the organism in Eukaryota, Metazoa, Chordata, Mammalia, Primates, Cheirogaleidae.